UCAGUUGUGAAAGUUUGCGGCUCAACCGUAAAAUUGCAGUUGAUACUGGCAGUCUUGAGUGCAGUAGAGGUGGGCGGAAUUCGUGGUGUAGCGGUGAAAUGCUUAGAUAUCACGAAGAACUCCGAUUGCGAAGGCAGCUCACUGGAGUGUAACUGACGCUGAUGCUCGAAAGUGUGGGUAUCAAACAGGAUUAGAUACCCUGGUAGUCCACACAGUAAACGAUGAAUACUCGCUGUUUGCGAUAUACAGUAAGCGGCCAAGCGAAAGCGUUAAGUAUUCCACCUGGGGAGUACGCCGGCAACGGUGAAACUCAAAGGAAUUGACGGGGGCCCGCACAAGCGGAGGAACAUGUGGUUUAAUUCGAUGAUACGCGAGGAACCUUACCCGGGCUUGAAUUGCAACUGAAUGAUGUGGAGACAUGUCAGCCGCAAGGCAGUUGUGAAGGUGCUGCAUGGUUGUCGUCAGCUCGUGCCGUGAGGUGUCGGCUUAAG
This 491-nucleotide ribosomal RNA is filed under the name uncultured bacterium. Its description in RNAcentral is "bacterial SSU rRNA". It matches the Rfam family "Bacterial small subunit ribosomal RNA", at positions 588 to 1084 of the family's 1533-position model. The record is from RNAcentral.